GUAGGUGGCAAGCGUCGUCCGGGAAUUAUUGGGGCGUAAAGCGCGCGCAGGCGGUUCUUUAAGUCUGAUGUGAAAGCCCACAGCUCAACCGUGGAGGGUCAUUGGAAACUGGAGAACUUGAGUACAGAAGAGGAAAGCGGAAUUCCACGUGUAGCGGUGAAAUGCGUAGAGAUGUGGAGGAACACCAGUGGCGAAGGCGGCUUUCUGGUCUGUAACUGACGCUGAGGCGCGAAAGCGUGGGGAGCAAACAGGAUUAGAUACCCUGGUAGUCCACGCCGUAAACGAUGAGUGCUAAGUGUUAGGGGGUUUCCGCCCCUUAGUGCUGCAGCUAACGCAUUAAGCACUCCGCCUGGGGAGUACGGCCGCAAAGGCUG
This 374-nucleotide ribosomal RNA is filed under the name uncultured organism. RNAcentral describes it as "partial 16S ribosomal RNA". It matches the Rfam family "Bacterial small subunit ribosomal RNA", at positions 527 to 896 of the family's 1533-position model. The record is from RNAcentral.